This 468-nucleotide ribosomal RNA is filed under the name uncultured bacterium. RNAcentral's name for it is "partial 16S ribosomal RNA". It matches the Rfam family "Bacterial small subunit ribosomal RNA", at positions 28 to 507 of the family's 1533-position model. The record is from RNAcentral.
GAUGAACGCUGGCGGCGUGCCUAACACAUGCAAGUCGAACGGAAAGGCCCUGCUCUUGUGGGGUGCUCGAGUGGCGAACGGGUGAGUAAAACGCGUGUAUCAUGCCCUUGUCUUUGGGAUAACUUCAGGAAACUGGGGCUAAUAUCGGAUAGGAGCUCCUGCUGCAUGGUGGGGGUUGGAAAGUUUCGGCGGUUGUGGAUAGACUCGCGGCUUAUCAGCUUGUUGGUGGGGUAGUCGAUUACCAAGCCUUUGACGGGUAGCCGGCCUGAGAGGGGGGCCGGGCACAAUGGUACUGAGGUACGGACCAGUCUCCAAUGUGAGGCAACGGGGGAAAGUAUUACGCAGUAAGCGGGAGUCUGAGACGACGACGCCGGGUUCGGAAUGACGGCCUUCGGGUUGAGAACCGCUGUGUCCGGUGACGAAGCGGUAUUGACGGUAAUGGAUAAAGAAGCACCGGCUAACUACGUG